AACGAACGCUGGCGGCAUGCCUAACACAUGCCAGUCGAACGAUGCCUUCGGGCAUAGUGGCGCACGGGUGCGUAACGCGUGGGAAUCUGCCUUUCGGUUCGGAAUAACUCAGGGAAACUUGAGCUAAUACCGGAUAACGUCGCAAGACCAAAGAUUUAUCACCGAAAGAUGAGCCCGCGUAGGAUUAGCUAGUUGGUGAGGUAAAGGCUCACCAAGGCGACGAUCCUUAGCUGGUCUGAGAGGAUGAUCAGCCACACUGGGACUGAGACACGGCCCAGACUCCUACGGGAGGCAGCAGUGGGGAAUAUUGGACAAUGGGCGAAAGGAUGAUCCAGCAAUGCCGCGUGAGUGAUGAAGGCCUUAGGGUUGUAAAGCUCUUUUACCCGGGAAGAUAAUGACGGUACCGGGAGAAUAAGCCCCGGCUAACUCCGUG
Molecule: ribosomal RNA, 433 nt
Filed under: uncultured bacterium
Lineage: Bacteria
Description: partial 16S ribosomal RNA
Rfam family: Bacterial small subunit ribosomal RNA
Source: RNAcentral